AACGAACGCUGGCGGCAGGCCUAACACAUGCAAGUCGAACGAUGUAGCAAUACAUAGUGGCGCACGGGUGAGUAACGCGUGGGAAUGUACCUUUUGGUGGGGAAUAACUCCGGGAAACUGGAGCUAAUACCGCAUACGCCCUUCGGGGGAAAGAUUUAUCGCCAAAAGAUCAGCCCGCGUGAGAUUAGAUAGUUGGUGGGCUAAUGGCCUACCAAGUCUACGAUCUCUAGCUGGUCUUAGAGGAUGACCAGCCACACUGGAACUGAGACACGGUCCAGACUCCUACGGGAGGCAGCAGUGGGGAAUAUUGGGCAAUGGGCGCAAGCCUGACCCAGCCAUGCCGCGUGAGUGAUGAAGGCUCUAGGGUUGUAAAGCUCUUUCGCCGAUGAAGAUAAUGACGGUAGUCGGAGAAGAAGCCCCGGCUAACUUCGUGCCAGCCGCCGCGGUAA
RNAcentral lists this ribosomal RNA (449 nucleotides) under uncultured bacterium. RNAcentral's name for it is "partial 16S ribosomal RNA". It matches the Rfam family "Bacterial small subunit ribosomal RNA", at positions 29 to 523 of the family's 1533-position model. The record is from RNAcentral.